GAUGAACGUUGGCGGUGUGCCUAAUACAUGCAAGUCGAACGGAGUUAAUAGCAAUAUUGGCUCAGUGGCGAACGGGUGAGUAACGCGUUGGUGAUCUGCCUUGAAGUGUGGAAUAACGUUCCGAAAGGAACGCUAAUACCGCAUGUGCUCUCGAUUUUCAGAAAGUUGAGAGUAAAGGAUUUAUUCGCUUCAAGAGGAGCCUGCGUCCCAUCAGCUGGUUGGUAGGGUAAAGGCCUACCAAGGCUAUGACGGGUAGGGGACCUGAGAGGGUGGCCCCCCACAAUGGAACUGAAACACGGUCCAUACACCUACGGGUGGCAGCAGUAGGGAAUAUUAGAAAUGGACGAAAGUCUGAUCUAGCAACACCGCGUGUGCGAAGAAGGCCUUGGGUCGUAAAGCACUUUUGGAAGGAAUAGGAAGGAAUGUACUUCCAGAAUAAGUCUCGGCUAACUACGUGCCAGCAGCCGCGGUAAAACGUAGACGUG
RNAcentral lists this ribosomal RNA (485 nucleotides) under uncultured bacterium. Its description in RNAcentral is "bacterial SSU rRNA". It matches the Rfam family "Bacterial small subunit ribosomal RNA", at positions 28 to 533 of the family's 1533-position model. The record is from RNAcentral.